AUGGUCAGCCAAGAAAUUACAUCUCAUCAACAAAGCAAAGAGAAAAGUCCUAGUCUCUUCAUCAAGACAAGGAACAGAGCAGUCAGCAGGAAGAGAAGACCUACAGCUGGGAAAAGAAGGAAGCAAGUGACUAAAUCCUGGUGUAAGUUUCUGAACAAAUGGUACAGAGAAGGUUCAACUGAAUGCAGUUUAUUUUUACUGCGAAGCAUACACACAAGAUUCACCUCCAUAUCAUACAGAGUUCCAAACUCUAUUGCAUUUUUAAAUUGCAAGAAAAAAGUAAAAUGUGAAAUUCCUGUGCACUUUUUUUUAGUGUUGGACUAAGUUUUUCAUUUACCAGCUGUUGUAGCACAGCAGUAAGUAGUGGUUCAUUAUUGAUGGAUAAAAUGUUCAAACAUUUAAGGAAAUGAAAGUCAGCCUUGAAUUUUUAAUUAUUUAAUUAAAAGUACUGCAAAUGCCAGCUUGUUAAUUGCUUUGCACCUGCAAACCAACACAGGUUUUAUGCACUCUUUCUUUGAAUAUUAAUUUUUUGCAUGUCUUCAUAAUGCUUGAAAAGUCUCCCCUGCAAACAUAUUAGUAAAGAGUAAAUAUUGAAUCUAAGACAAAACUCACGGCUUCAUCUUUCACUGUACACAGAAUAGGAUUUAAAGGAGGAUUUAGGUUUCCAAGGCUUCUAAUUAAGUAGUGAUAAUCAAGCUUUCUGCUGAGGGUCACUUCCUGGGAGUAAUUUGAGUUAUUAAAAUGCAUGUUUUUAUUUGUUCUGCUUUGCGAGCUAAAACUGAUCCCUUUUAAUAUAGCAGCAAAUAUGCAAAUUGGUGUUUCAUUAUAUUAUGCAAUUUAUGGCAAUCUUCUCUAAUUUACUGAAAGGGCAAGAGCCUGACCUUGUCAUUCAACUUUUUUUCCUGGUAAGCUAAACUAAUUAUGUGGAUCUUUUUAUAAAACUCUGAAAGUAUGCAGCAUGGUUUAAAAAAAAAAGUGACAAAUUCACCUUGAUUAUGCAUCAAGAUGGCCUUUGAAUUUGCUUGAAUCCCCCUGCAGGGUGAUGGAUAAUUUAAACUUACAUAUGGGAGCCAAUUUUUUUCAAGAUUUGAAAAUGGCUUCCUUUUUUUUCACAGAAAUCCUGGAAAGAGCAUCUGAAAUCAUUGAAAUAAUAUAUGUCAGGAUUUGAGCUAUGGACUAAAAAAAAGUUAAUUAAAAAUACUUGCAUGUUGUGUUAUGAAUUGAUAUCACGAUUUUUCUGUGUGUCAUCCUUCAAUACUUUUCAAUCACAUUUUUAUUAGUUAUAUGUUCUGCGUUUUCAAUUUUCUUUUAAUAAUUUUUUCCUUUCAGCUUUAUCUUACUUCUAAGCUCCUUUUUGCCUCCUCCACCAAGAAAUGUAAAGAAAGUUCUCCUCUGUCGAAGUCAGGAAAGCCUUGUUUAGUCUUCAGAGACUCCUGAGGAGAUUCUACAAAUGCUUUUUUCUCUGUAAGUACACCUUCCUUUCUAUCCCUGCAGGCUGAUCAGCCUUCUCAUUCCCAACAAUAAUUUUUUUCACUCACUCUCCUGCUCCAUAACGAUGUAUUUAUGGGAUCUGUAGUCAAGGACUGUGUUUGCCAAUGUGACCAAUUAGAAUGAUAUGUCUGGAAUGCGAGGACACAGGAACAGCAUCAUAAGUAUUGAAACUUUGAAAGUAACUGGGUUGGGAGGGUCUUGAGAGAACAGCUGGUCAGUAACCCUGAGCUGAGGUGGGGAUGUGAAUGCUUGGGUAGUCCCCAGCAGAUGUUUAUCCUGUUUGUUCUUAAAAAUCUUUAGUGAAGGAGAUUCACAUCUCUAUAGCAAACUCUUAUUCCUUAAAUUUAGUUGGAUUUUUUUCUUUUUUGUAUAACUUUCUGCAUUGCAAACCUAGCUGACUCCAUCCUUCAAUUUCUGUAAAAAAAAAAAAAAAAAGGAAACAAAAAACAACAAAAAAGACAAGUUUCCUUACACUGGAAGAAAAUACUUAAAGCAUAGAAUUAAAAUGGUGUUCUCCAACAGGAUUUAAUCCAUGUAGUUGAACACAAUUUCCUCUUGACCACAAUGACAGUAACAUUGUAGUUGUUGCUUCCACUAUCGUAACCUCUCCUGCUCGUGUUUAAACGCAAUGUGUAUUUGUAAUGCAAAUAAGUCCUUAAUACUGUGUAUCAACUAGAAUACACAGGUCGUAAAUCUGUGUUUGAACACUAAUCUCUUGCAGAUUGGACUGUAAACUGAAGUAGUAAUGUUCAUUCCCAUUAAUGCUUAAAAUUGUUUCUUUAAAGCAAUGAUCUAGCUUCUGUUGGCAAAAUGUUCUAGGUUAUGCUGCAUUUGCCCCAUGGGGAGUUGAUGAAAUUAGUCAUCGGGUUAAAAACUGAUUCAUCCUUUACUUUGCAGGAUGAGGACCAUAAGUGUAUCCACAGCCUGCUUUAAUUACAGCUUUGGCAUUUCCAGAUCUUGUGACUUUAGGUCCCCCUUUAUUUAGGGGUACUCUGGAAAGUAAAACGUGUGUUUUUGCAUUGGAGGACAAUGCUCAGAUUGUGACAGUUUUGAAAGCAACCUUGUGUUAUGAAGUAAUGUUUUUGUGGAUUUCUUUGUCUUUUGGGAAUGAAGACCAGCAGUUGGCAACUUCUGAUGAGGUGGUGAAUUUUGAUGAUGUGAAAUCUGACUAGAGAGACGGAAAUCCUUUAUAUUGAGCAAUAAAUUAAUCUGUUAAUUACUUAAUUCCCA
Molecule: long non-coding RNA, 2721 nt
Organism: Anser cygnoides (Swan goose)
Lineage: Eukaryota; Metazoa; Chordata; Aves; Anseriformes; Anatidae
Source: Ensembl